CAAUCGCCGCGGGAAUACGUAGGUCCCGAGCGUUGUCCGGAUUUAUUGGGCGUAAAGCGAGCGCAGGCGGUUAGACAAGUCUGAAGUUAAAGGCUGUGGCUUAACCAUAGUACGCUUUGGAAACUGUUUAACUUGAGUGCAAGAGGGGAGAGUGGAAUUCCAUGUGUAGCGGUGAAAUGCGUAGAUAUAUGGAGGAACACCGGUGGCGAAAGCGGCUCUCUGGCUUGUAACUGACGCUGAGGCUCGAAAGCGUGGGGAGCAAACAGGAUUAGAUACCCCCGUAGUCCCUGUCUCUUAUACA
RNAcentral lists this ribosomal RNA (301 nucleotides) under uncultured bacterium. Its description in RNAcentral is "partial 16S ribosomal RNA". It matches the Rfam family "Bacterial small subunit ribosomal RNA", at positions 509 to 808 of the family's 1533-position model. The record is from RNAcentral.